This 29-nucleotide non-coding RNA is filed under the name Mus musculus (house mouse). The record is from RNAcentral. Lineage: Eukaryota; Metazoa; Chordata; Mammalia; Rodentia; Muridae.
UACUCAGGCUACCUGGUUCUAUGAAUUCC